Molecule: transfer RNA, 90 nt
Filed under: Brevundimonas denitrificans
Lineage: Bacteria; Pseudomonadati; Pseudomonadota; Alphaproteobacteria; Caulobacterales; Caulobacteraceae
Description: tRNA-Arg
Source: RNAcentral
CGCGGGGCCAGGACGGCGAACUCGUCCUCGCCGAUGCGGGCGGCGUUGGCGUCCUGGGCAAAGGCCGCGUUCAGGCGCGACCCCAGGGCC